RNAcentral lists this long non-coding RNA (504 nucleotides) under Bemisia tabaci. RNAcentral describes it as "lncRNA ENSSSA2NGG011033". The record is from RNAcentral. Lineage: Eukaryota; Metazoa; Arthropoda; Insecta; Hemiptera; Aleyrodidae.
AGAGCUCCGCGCUGCGGUGCAGCGAGCUUCCGGGGGAGGGGGGCGCGGUGCUCCCCACCGCGAGCGCGCUGCGUGUGCCGCGCGUUUCGCUCGCCCGACGCGCCGCGCCGCCCGCGUCAGUUUCCUCCUGGACCCGCUCUGGGGCGUCCGCGAUUCACUACCGGCGCCGGCAUCCGCUUUUCACCCCGUUUCCGGACACGCUCUAAUGUUAUUAGAAAUUUGACAAUCCGCUCUUCUCGUAUUUUUCCUGGAAAUGCAAUUCAUAAUGUUUACAUGAUAUCAGGGGCAAUUCAAGCUCUAGUCUUGUGGUGCUCAUAUUUGCAGCGUGUAAACACUUUGAAUAUUGACAAGGUCCCUUCUAUAACUCAAUAUACAGAAUUUGCUGCGGUGAAGUGAAGCGACUACUAAGUGUACUAAGUGUGUGCGCGCUUAAUUGGUAGUGAAGUUCUGAAGGUACGCUUUGGAUUAAAACAUACCAGCACUGAUUGGAUACUCUUAUUUCAG